CGUGUAGGCGGGGCGGUGCGUCGGUCGUUGAAAUCCCCCGGCUCAACCGGGGAAGUGGCGCCGAUACGACCGCCCUGGAGCGACGUAGGGGGGACUGGAACUUCCGGUGGAGCGGUGAAAUGCGUUGAGAUCGGAAGGAACGCCCGUGGCGAAAGCGAGUCCCUGGACGUCGGCUGACGCUGAGACGCGAAAGCCAGGGGAGCGAACG
This 208-nucleotide ribosomal RNA is filed under the name uncultured bacterium. Its description in RNAcentral is "partial 16S ribosomal RNA". It matches the Rfam family "Bacterial small subunit ribosomal RNA", at positions 568 to 774 of the family's 1533-position model. The record is from RNAcentral.